Molecule: ribosomal RNA, 253 nt
Filed under: uncultured bacterium
Lineage: Bacteria
Description: partial 16S ribosomal RNA
Rfam family: Bacterial small subunit ribosomal RNA
Source: RNAcentral
UACGGGGGGGGCAAGCGUUGUUCGGAAUUACUGGGCGUAAAGGGCUCGUAGGCGGCCAACUAAGUCAGACGUGAAAUCCCUCGGCUUAACCGGGGAACUGCGUCUGAUACUGGAUGGCUUGAGUUCGGGAGAGGGAUGCGGAAUUCCAGGUGUAGCGGUGAAAUGCGUAGAUAUCAGGAGGAACACCAGUGGCGAAGGCGACUACCUGGCCUGUUCUUGACGCUGAGGCGCGAAAGCUAGGGGAGCAAACGGG